CGAUUGGCGACGUGUUGGCUCAGUAGCCAUCGUCAUCGUCCUCAAGGAUUAUAGAUCGGAGUUCAUCCCCGCCGCCGGAUAUCUAUUCCUCAAAGCUCUUCAUAAAUGAGUUGAGGUUCUUAGUCACUAGAACGGGAUCAGUCUCUCCGACCCGACGUUCUCCACUUCUCGUUCCGGCGAUUCUGAUGGUGGUAGGGCAAAGUACAAGCUCGUAUCCCAGGCCAUGGUGCAUGUUAGCCAAUGGCCCUACGACGGCGAUGGCGUAUGUAUGCUCUGCAAGGCGAAGCCAUCUGACGAGGAGGGGCUGACCCUCAAGACC
Molecule: long non-coding RNA, 319 nt
Filed under: Rosa chinensis
Lineage: Eukaryota; Viridiplantae; Streptophyta; Magnoliopsida; Rosales; Rosaceae
Description: sRNA RchiOBHm_Chr7g0208001
Source: RNAcentral